GCUGGGGAGAACAGAGCUGGUUUGACGAAGUGGAGAGGCGCUCAAUGUUGGUCUGGCCACGCUUUGGGCAUGCGUGAGCGCUCACAGCAAAACACAGCUGGCAUGUCUAAUUUUAGCCUUGACUGCCUUGAAAAGGGACCCUUAAAGGAAAUAUAUUUUCGCUGAAACCAUUUGUAUUAUAAUGUAACAGCUGACAGACAUGUCAGAAUAUUACUUAUUAUUGGUGGGGAAAAACUCUGUCAGGUAAUUGUGCUUUUUUUUGUGAUGACAUCGGGAAAGUGAUUAAAGCAUCCCUGAAUCAAAAUCAUCAUAGAUAGACAGUGAGAGAACCAGAGCUUUUAUUUAUGAAGACGCCUGUAAACCUAAUGGGAUACCUCCUUUGAUGCUUACAAAACGGAUGUAAGGGAAAUACUGCAGCUUUCUGGACUGCAUACCCUGCUCCCUGGAGAGGUUCCACCCACCGGCUGGAAGGAGAGGAAGUGAAUGAAAGGACAGGAGGAGCCCGAACACCAUGUCACUCUGGAAGGGAGACAGCAGCAACCAGGCUGUGCAAGUGAGUGGUGGAAGACGAAGGAUCUCUGAAGCCUCAUCAGUCAUCGGGACCAUCAGGAAUAGUGGUUUAAGAGGACGC
Molecule: long non-coding RNA, 631 nt
Organism: Canis lupus familiaris (dog)
Lineage: Eukaryota; Metazoa; Chordata; Mammalia; Carnivora; Canidae
Exons: 3
Source: RefSeq, a predicted model, not a curated record